AGGGAUGUAGCGCAGCUUGGUAGCGCCUUUGUUUUGGGUACGGGUACAAAAUGUCACGGGUUCCAAUCCUGUCAUACCUA
Molecule: transfer RNA, 80 nt
Filed under: Xanthoceras sorbifolium
Lineage: Eukaryota; Viridiplantae; Streptophyta; Magnoliopsida; Sapindales; Sapindaceae
Description: tRNA-Pro
Rfam family: tRNA
About the family: Transfer RNA (tRNA) molecules are approximately 80 nucleotides in length. Their secondary structure includes four short double-helical elements and three loops (D, anti-codon, and T loops).
Source: RNAcentral